CGAUGUGAGCGCAAUCUGGCUACAUCUGUCACCCAUUUAUUGCCGGGGUUGAUUUGGCCGCUCUGGCUGGCUAGGUGGCAUGUCCCAUUCCUCCCUCACUACUCCACAUGGGUCCCUCCUGAAGGUGCGUGAUGGGUGGACCAAGACAACCUUUCCUGAUAGAGGAAGACUGUUCAUCAGGGAAGGAUAUGUGAGUAGCCCUGCCCUCCUGCUAGAACCUCCAAAGGUUCUUAGGAAAUGCAACUUCAAUAUAAAAACACAAAUAGGUUAAAAGAUGGAAAAAGAAAUAACAGGCUAACACAAAUCAAAAGAAAGCUGAAGUACCUGUAUUACUAAAAUAUAGAUUUC
Unclassified non-coding RNA from Otolemur garnettii (small-eared galago), 348 nucleotides. Its record names the gene 7SK. It matches the Rfam family "7SK RNA". Rfam says of the family: 7SK was discovered as an abundant small nuclear RNA in the mid-70s but a possible function has only recently been suggested. Two independent studies have found that 7SK RNA binds the CDK9/cyclin T complex (known as elongation factor P-TEFb). NCBI's taxonomy places the organism in Eukaryota, Metazoa, Chordata, Mammalia, Primates, Galagidae. The record is from Ensembl.